RNAcentral lists this unclassified non-coding RNA (309 nucleotides) under plant metagenome. Its description in RNAcentral is "partial contains small subunit ribosomal RNA, internal transcribed spacer 1, and 5.8S ribosomal RNA". The record is from RNAcentral.
UUUCCGUAGGUGAACCUGCGGAAGGAUCAUUAAGGCGUUGCGGAUGUGGAACCCGGCUGACUCGGAUUGAAAUAUAUAUGAGGAGGUGUUCGGUGUUCCCCCGCAGUUGCCCAUUCUUGUCUACUGACCCAGUUGCCUCGGUGGGCCGAGCCGUUCGCGGCCGGCCGGUGGGAGUUUCGGUUCGCCCUGCGUGGGUCGCCGCUUCCUCGGGCCUGUGCCCGCCGAUGGACAUUUAAAAUCUAAUAUUUUGGCCGUCUGAGCAUAAAGCAAAAUCUUUUAAAACUUUCAACAACGGAUCUCUUGGUUCCG